AGUGCUCUCUCAGCCCUUGGACUGAGGCAGGCCUCCUGAGGACCCUCUUCCAAGCGCUGCCCACUUCCCUGGCUGUUCUGACAGGUGCUUACCUUUGUACUGGGGCCAGUUGGGGACACGGAGAAUGGGGAGGUCUUAUUUUGGGGGUUCUGCAAAGAGAAAGUAGGAGCAAGGGGAUGGGAAUAGUGCAGUGAAGCAGCUUCUGACCACCCCCGCUCCCUGCCCUCCUACCAUAGGCGGCACAGAGCCCCCUCUGAACCCCUCUCCCCAUUCCUUCCCACCCCCUCCCGCUUAUCCACUCCCUCCUAACCUGAUGAUUAGUGUCUGGUCCAUUUCUUUCGGUGUCUGCAAAGAGAGGGAAAGGAUGUGUUGUCAUCAGCCACCCCCACCACAC
Molecule: long non-coding RNA, 394 nt
Filed under: Homo sapiens (human)
Lineage: Eukaryota; Metazoa; Chordata; Mammalia; Primates; Hominidae
Description: HSALNT0260186
Source: RNAcentral